Molecule: long non-coding RNA, 4635 nt
Organism: Gasterosteus aculeatus aculeatus (three-spined stickleback)
Lineage: Eukaryota; Metazoa; Chordata; Actinopteri; Perciformes; Gasterosteidae
Source: Ensembl
ACAUCUCCACAUCAGGCAGCCCCGUGGACCGGGAGACUCCCAACAUCUGGGGGCUGUAUUGAUUUCCAGGGGAGGGGGGGGCAGGGGGAGUAAAUGUCUCCCCGGUGAGCUAUUCAGAGCAGCUACUUCCGCAUUCAGCCAAUCUUUCAGCCGUGAUUGUCACGCUUGUGUUUUGAUGGCAGGGUGCAGUAGCCGCUUGUCUUACACAGGAGUAACACAAGCAAGCACUUGAAUAUAUCAAUACCAUACCCCCAAACCCCCCCUUUGAGCCAGAGGCUUUGGCUGGUACCCACAUCAAGGGGAGAUUGUUAACGUGAGGACAAGUUGCAGGGAAAGCAUCGUAAACACCAAACUUUUUAGUCUGUCAACAUCUAGUCAAUAGUGGAAAUCACUGACAGAAAGAGCUGUUCUGCCUCGAAACGCUUGACGCGCUAUCGUGUAACACGUUCAGAUGAUGCUGAUGAUGCUGUACACCGCCAGGCAUAAACCCCUUUGCACCCUACGGGGCUUGAUGUUCCCCUGCAACGGCACAGAAACACCACACGGCUCACCUGUUGUAUUCUGAGCUCCCGUUGGGGGUGUUAAGCUUUCUUAAAUGUUUGAGUCAAAAUCAAAUCGAUCACAGUAAGAAUUUUAGGGUGACAAUAGUAAAGAAGCGCUGUCCUGCUUCAAAGUCUUAAUCUAUACCUGCAGCCUCAUUUUGUUUUGAACAAUUUUCAGCUGCUAUUUGACAAAUUGAUAGCAAGAAAGUGAGUACUGUGUGUUUUAUUCAGUUUCAUGAGAUACACCACAAGUUUCCUUUCCACCUGACAGACUCAUUUACAUCACAAAUAGAUAAUUUUGCGAUUACAACAAAAUGACACAUUUAUAAGUUUGGUUUAAACACGAAUAUGUGUAAUUCAACAUAAAGAAUGCAUCAUUUGUAUCCUUUAUUACACACUCAGGACAAAACAUGGAUUAUUAAAAAUGUGACAUCUUCUAAACUUGUUUUUGUCCAACCAACAAUAUAUAAACACCAAAGUAUCCAGCUAACUGUGACACGGAACAAACAAAUGCGAAAGCAAAACAUUGCAAUUUUUGAAACAUUAUGAACUGAUUAUCAGAUAAAUUGUACAUUAGACACCUGCACACCUGCCUUUAACAUGUCAAAGGCCCCAAGUCAUGAGACCAGACCUGAAACGGAUUUCUUCAAAGUGCAUCUGCAGGCAACAGAGUCGCUGGCUGAGGGCUAAACAGCAAAGAGACAAAAAUGACAGGGAUUUCACCAUUGAAUCCCUUUAGCAGGCCACUGACACAUGAAUGAGGGCAACGCGAGAGAAGAGAGAGAGCGAGGGAGGGAGAGAGAGGAAGGGAGAGAGAGAGAGAGAAAAAGAAGAGCAGACAACCAAUUUGGGAGUAAUGCAACUAAAAACUGACAAGUGUAAUUUCAUCCAUCUGGGCCGAUGUGUAAAAAGCGCUGCUCCGAACAUUCCCCAUGAUUCCCCCUGAUUGAUCUUCCCCUGGUCUGAAACACCUAUUAUUAGCCACGAGCCUAAUAGCACCAGGAUGGCUCAGCGCUCUCCCAGGGGCCAAUUCUCCGGUCAUCUGCCCCUCACUCACCACAGCUGUGGAAACCAACCAGGGAGAGGGAGGACUUGGGGGGGUGUAGCUGCCAAGAGGGGAUGGAGGCGUACCUAUUAGGUGGGGGGGGGGGGAGGUUAGGGCGAUGGAGCGAGGUUGAGGAGAGAGGAAGAGAGGGGUAGAGUGGGUAUGAAGAGGAAUAUGGAGAGGAGAGUAGGGGACGCGAUGGAGGAGAGAUGGAGACCAGUGGAUGGACAUGCAAUGGGAGGGAGGGGGCAGUGGGAGGAAGGGGGAGAAGGGGAGGGGGGGGGAGACAAAAGAGAUCAAAAAGUUAUUCAUGAGCAUUUCCUGAAAGAAAAAAAAAGGAGAAAAUCCAUUUUACCUUCUGCUGAUUGAAAUGAUUGUUAAAAACAUUACAUCCACUUUGUGCUCAUUUUAAUUACUCAGGAGGAAAAGGUUGUCUCCAGGACGUGAUGCUCAUCCAUCCCCAGCUGAGGCGGCUGCUAACGACAGGCCGGCAACACUCCAGAGGAAGCUUGGCACGAUUAAGCUUGUUUGAAUUAAAUGAAAAAUUUAAAUGAUUUGAAAACUGCAGGUCGUAAAGUAGUUUUCAGGAAUAAUAAUGACGCAAACAUUUUUUUUUUACUUUAAACAUCUUAAUUGUUUGAUUUGAAACAUCGUAUUGCUUCAAUUAACUUUGAGUUUCUUUCAUCAAGCCCAUUUUAGAAAAUCAGAAUUGACCUUUAACAGUAAUUUAUGCAGUCCCCAUUUUUACCAUUUAAAAAUAGUAUAAAACAUUUAGGAAAUGGUCUGGACCCACUCAAAUUGUGUUUAAGUGAAUAUUACCAUUGGGGAACACAUUUGAAAUAAUAUCAUGUAGAUUUUUUAAUUGUGCACAAUUUUACUUAACAUUCAUCUGCAACUGUGUUGUGAAAGUUAUCACAUUUUAACAUACUGUUAAUAAAUUCUAAUUUGGGGAACACAUUUCAGUUGUCACAUUUUUCAUGAAAAUCUGAUUGACAAAAAACAGCUUAGUUUGAUGGAAUAUUCAAGGUUGAACCAACUUAGAGUGAAGGUGGGCACGUUGAGGCUCCUCAACCCAGUGCUGCCAUGGGGACGCUCAAGGUUACACGCCAACAAUAAGAAGGUUUGCAACACAAAAAGUGAGGGAGAAAUGUUGAUUGCAGACUGGCUCUUUUGGGGGAUUUUGCGAUGGAAUAAGGUCAGAAGUUGUCUGUUAAUCACCCCUUCAGUCUCUUUGAUUGAGUGAGCCCUCAGGUGAGGCGUAAUGCAUUUUCAAGGGCAAUGAUGGCAAUAAUUGGCUACCUUCACUUCACUAAAAUGGACAAAGUCCUGAAAAAAUCUCCCCACUUGAAUUUGACAGUUCAGAGCAAAUGAAAAUAAAGGCUCUGAGGGCUUUUCAGUCAACAAAUUAAUAAGUAUGAUAUUAUAAAGCUGGCUAUGGACACGAUCUCUUGGCCAAAUCAUUACGCUGAUCUGUGAUCUGCAGUUUGUAAAGUAAGAGGACCCUGAACUGCUGUGAUACAUUUGUUUUGCAGCAGGAUUCUAUUAAAAAAACAAUUUUUUAUUAAAAAUAAAAGUGUAUUAUAAAGGCUGAAGUGAUGUUCGUAUGGUCUAGUCACGAUUAUACACAAUCAUGCUGCAGGACACAGAAUUGUUGUGGGCCAUCAAAUCGAUGAAAUCCUUCAUUAUCGGGUUUUUUUGACGGAAAAAUAUAUUUUUUGACAUUUAAAAAAGGUGGAUGAUUAUUUCUUAGGUUUUGAGCUGAGACAGACCUUUUAGAAAUGUCUUUCCUCUGCAUGUACAGCCGGAUGUAGUCAACUUUGCUUCAGUUUAGUACUUUUUUUGUAGUUCAUAUUGGAGAUGUUAGUGCUCCGUGAUCAGUUCAUUCUGACAUACUUGUUUUCUAAACCUUUUACAAUAAUUCUGUAAUAAUUGCUAUUCUUAAAAUUAAUUUUUACAUUCUCCCGUUUAACCUUGUUUAUAUUCUGGUGUUUUUAUGGAAUUAUUUUAAGGAUUAGCUGCAGUGUAAUAAAGAAAGAAACAAUCUGGCGAUGAAUGUAAUGAUGAUGAUGAUGAUGAUGAUGAUGAUGAUAAUAGCAGCAACAGCAACAUUAGAAGCACCAAAAUAAACAUCAAGAGCCGGUAAUAAUAAUAGUAAUAUCAGUAGGGGUGAUGGUCCAGGUAAAAGAUGGAAGGAAAACAUGGCUUAAUUUUUUUAAUUUUUUAUACAAGUCCAAGUCUAUUGUUUUCUCAGAAUCUUGCGAGAGCAACAUUGUGUUGUUAGAAUUGACUUGUUUCACAAGGGAAACCUUUUGAGAGGCCUUUAGCAGGGAAAUGUCUUUCACUGGACAUUCAUCAGCCUGAAGAGGAACGUUCCCUUCUUUGCGAUUAUCUUUAAUGCAAAAUAACCAGAAAUGAAUGUGGAGACUCUGGAUCCGAACAUUUGAUUGCAGGUGUACUCUUGGUAAAAAAAAAAUAAUAAAUCAAAACGUAGACUUUGCAUAAAUGCUCUCUGUUAAUCCAACUUUCUGUGAGCAAGAAGGCAACUCCUUGAAGGAGGGCAGGGAGCAAAGCCGAACCAAAGCCCGGCCUGCUAUGCAGUUUCAGGUAGGAGUGUCCCAGGGUGCAGCAGACAAAGGUCCACAGCUUUCACCUGACCAACUGCUGCCACCCAACACAGCUCAUGAGAACACGAGCAGCAUCUCGUCCGCCACAUCUUACCUCACCAGGUGUGACUCCCCUUUCUCUACCCUUGUUUUCCACUUCGCUUCACACCGCGCUCUUAAAUUUCAAGCUCUUUUAUUUUGCAGUCAGCAUCGGCUAUUGUGUGCAGCACUUCCUCCAGUGGGGCAUUCAUUGUUGCCUGAGAGCCCGACACACACACACACACACACACACACACACACACACACACACAGGUCACUACUUUAUUAGUUGUUAAUGUAUGUAUUGAGGAUGUGUGUGUGUGUGUGUGUGUGUGUGUGUGUGUGUGUGUGUGUGUGUGUGUGUGUGUGUGUGUGUGUGUGUGUGUGGACGGAGGGGGGGGGGGGG